AAUAGUCGAUUAAAAAACAAAACAAAUUUUUUACUGUUUUGAGAAUAAUUAAUAAUUUAAGUGGAUUUUCUAAUUAAAUAAUAAUAUGUCUGGACAAAAAGCGUGACGUGGAGGAAGACACGCUGGAGACAGAUAAGAUACAAAAAGAGAGAUGUUUUCUUCUGAGUUGUUUUGCUCUAUUGGCGCGUGGACAUUAUCCCAUCAAUUGGAUAUUUUAAGGAGCGCGUGUAAUGAUUGAUGAACGAUUACGGGCAAGUAAGAUGGGCCUGAUUUGGUUGGGCCGAUUUCACAUUAGUUAGGAGAUUAUCCAUUUCCAAAAAGAGGAGAGAGAUGGACAAGGUUUGUUGACCAACUCUACCCCACAACAUUUGUUGACUAAACUACACUGAGACUCUCUUACCAAGUUUCUGCGCAGUUUCUUCUGUAGAUAUGCAUGAGAAACCUUCUCGUAGUUGUAGAGCAUUCCUAAUUUCAUGAUUUUUGCAGUGUGAUUUCCCAUCGAGUUUAAAACAAAAUUUUAAAAGGUUUUGCAUG
RNAcentral lists this long non-coding RNA (534 nucleotides) under Capsella rubella. RNAcentral's name for it is "long non-coding RNA (CRUB_LNC002894)". The record is from RNAcentral. Lineage: Eukaryota; Viridiplantae; Streptophyta; Magnoliopsida; Brassicales; Brassicaceae.